This is a long non-coding RNA of Daktulosphaira vitifoliae (grape phylloxera), 1620 nucleotides long. RefSeq lists it as uncharacterized. The transcript is spliced from 3 exons. The record is from RefSeq and is a predicted model, not a curated record. NCBI's taxonomy places the organism in Eukaryota, Metazoa, Arthropoda, Insecta, Hemiptera, Phylloxeridae.
UUAUGUCUGUUACCAAUUUUUCUAAGCUCUCACCGGACCAUUUUCUUUUAACAAUACGUCAAAAGAUCACAAAUCGUAUCUAAUUGAAGACAUUGCUCUUAAAAAUUGAAAAAAUCACCCUCGUUUAUUGAAAAUGGAAAAUUCCCAAAAUCGGCAAAAUUUGACAUUUUUUAAAAUUUUUUUUGCUUAAAACUGCCAUAAUUUUUUGAAAAACGAACGAAUUCAAAUAUAUGUUUUUUAAAUGAAAACCUUAGGUAAUUUCUUUUCACUUAAUAUACAUUUUUUGAAAAUAUGACACUUUGCCUGCACACAGGAGAGGAAUCAAAAUAUGAACUUCUGCACAAUUGUUUAAUUUUUUAAACUUAAAUUUUGCAAUUACUCUGAACUUCAAUCAUGUGUUAAAAUAAAAGUUUUGUUAUGUACUAGAAGUUCAAAAAAAAAAAUUUGUCCCGACGACCUUUUCUAUGUGCAAAUGGCUGCCGUAUUUAAAAAAUCGUGCAUUCUACUGAAAAUAUAAAAUUGAGUAAACCCAAUAUAAUAUAAAAAGAUAUUGCAUGUAACUGGACGAUGUUCCAUCACAACAGAAUAGUUUUUUGAAUUAUUAAGUAGUGAAUUAUCCAAUAAAGCUUAUGGUACAGUGAAAUGAUCAUAAUAUUAAUCUGACUAGUUUCAUAUUCAUGCAGGUUUUUUAUGGAUUUCUCUUAAAAAUACUUAUUUAAAAUUAAUAGAUGCAAUGCGCAACAGAAAAAUGAAUGAAAAAUUAAAGCAUAAUUAAAAGCAUUAAAAUUAUAAUUAAAAUUAUUUUAGUGAAUAAUUAGAAAACAAUAUCAGAAACAAUGUGUAAAUUAUUUAAAAAUUAAUCAUCAAAACAAAAAAUCAAUCUGUGAAAAAUAAAAGAGUACAAAAUGUUGUUUACAGAGCAAUAAGAUUCUAUAGAUAAACCAAGCAACAAUGAUCAAGCAAUUUAUGAUUAUUGUGUUUACGGAAUUACACAUUGAUAAGUUAUUACUGUGGCAAAAUGUGCGUGUGAUCAUAUUCCUUUAUCACGAUGCUUGUUGUUCAAAGAUAACACCGACAAGAUAACACAAGUGACGAAUCUGCCCCUUAGAUAUUCAGUGUUUUUAAUAUAAUCAAAGACACGUCAAGAGUCAGAUUUUCGAAAAUUUAUUACCAAAUAAAAGAGAAAUGCCUAAGAGGUUCAGUUAAAAAGGUUAACUAGGUUAAUAUUUCUACUUUGAAUCCCAUCAAGGACACGUAAAAGGUCAGAUUUUCAAAAAUGUAUAACCAACUAAAAGGGAAAUACCAACGGUAAUUAUAAAAAAAUGAUUUUGAUUUAUUCAUUUAUCAAAAAUGUUGAGAUUUAAGUAAAAAAUAAUAAUAAUAAAAUACAAAGAUUUUUUAAAGUGGGAGCAAUACAGUCGACAAUGUAAAUGUACGUUCAAUAAUAUUCUGUUCGUGUUCGAUAUCACACAUAAUAAUAUUUUUAAUAUUGAACUUGAGUUUGGAAAUUUAUUUUGUAUUUUUUUUUUUGUUAUUAUAUUAAGAUUUAAAUAAAAUUGAUCAAAAUACUAAUAUUUUAAGAAAUUUAUUAGUUGUAUUAGUAUUCAAAUAUAUAGCAAU